This 254-nucleotide unclassified non-coding RNA is filed under the name uncultured Anaerolineae bacterium. Its description in RNAcentral is "contains 16S-23S intergenic spacer region". It matches the Rfam family "Bacterial small subunit ribosomal RNA", at positions 524 to 776 of the family's 1533-position model. The record is from RNAcentral. Lineage: Bacteria; Bacillati; Chloroflexota; Anaerolineae.
AACGUAGGACGCAAACGUUAUCCGGAAUUACUGGGCGUAAAGGGCGCGCAGGCGGACCGGUAAGUUAGGCAUGAAAGCUCCCUGGCUAAACCGGGAGAGGCUGUCUGAUACUGCCAAGCUAGAGUAAGGUAGAGGGGUGUAGAAUUCCGCGUGUAGUGGUGAAAUGCGUAGAUAUGCGGAGGAAUACCAGUGGCGAAGGCGGCACCCUGGACCUUAACUGACGCUGAGGCGCGAAAGCAUGGGUAGCGAACGGG